This 429-nucleotide ribosomal RNA is filed under the name Actinomycetes bacterium. RNAcentral's name for it is "Actinobacteria bacterium partial 16S ribosomal RNA". It matches the Rfam family "Bacterial small subunit ribosomal RNA", at positions 355 to 776 of the family's 1533-position model. The record is from RNAcentral. Lineage: Bacteria; Bacillati; Actinomycetota; Actinomycetes.
UAGGGAAUCUUCCGCAAUGGGCGAAAGCCUGACGCAGCAACGCCGCGUGAGUGAUGAAGGUCUUCGGAUCGUAAAACUCUGUCAUUAGGGAAGAACAUAAGUGUAAGUAACUAUGCACGUCUUGACGGUACCUAAUCAGAAAGCCACGGCUAACUACGUGCCAGCAGCCGCGGUAAUACGUAGGUGGCAAGCGUUAUCCGGAAUUACUGGGCGUAAAGCGCGCGUAGGCGGUUUUUUAAGUCUGAUGUGAAAGCCCACGGCUCAACCGUGGAGGGUCAUUGGAAACUGGAAAACUUGAGUGCAGAAGAGGAAAGUGGAAUUCCAUGUGUAGCGGUGAAAUGCGCAGAGAUAUGGAGGAACACCAGUGGCGAAGGCGACUUUCUGGUCUGUAACUGACGCUGAUGUGCGAAAGCGUGGGGAUCAAACAGG